This 5375-nucleotide long non-coding RNA is filed under the name Musa acuminata (dwarf banana). Its description in RNAcentral is "long non-coding RNA (MACU_LNC011036)". Lineage: Eukaryota; Viridiplantae; Streptophyta; Magnoliopsida; Zingiberales; Musaceae. The record is from RNAcentral.
ACCCUAGCUCUUUAUUACAUAUCCCACUCUGGUCACUGGUAACAAUGAUGACCCCUUUUCCUCCCUUAUCAAAAACACCUAAUCUCUUUCUCUUCCCUCUGUCCUCCGGUGUAUAAAUACCCUAUAAAGUCAUUGCACUCGUUACUUAUUUGAAAUAGACAUUGCCAAAAACAGAGCCUAAUAUUGUUGGAUACCGAGCGAGAAAGCUCUUUAAUGAUUUUGUUGGAUACCGGCUCAUUACUUAUUUGGAACAUGGAAGAAGAGUAUACAUAAUUGACUUAGACCUCAUGGUUUAUACCGCUAUCUCUCGUCUCUUAUCUUUUGAUCCUCUUAGAUUCUCUUAUCUCUUUGAUCUUAUGAGAUUCUAUACAGAAAGCCCCGUUACCUCUUUAAGGAUUAUGACUCGCUACUGGCACACCCAAAAUCAGAGGCUAUUGGCGGAACACUUAACUGCAUUGCCUCUGUCUUAAUGCAAAACACGUUUACCACGCUGUGAGCAAGCAUAAGGGGAUUUGAUUAUCAUCUUCUUCUAAAACUAUUGGAUAAGUGAGAAGCGUCUUCUAAGAAAAACGAAAUCAUGAAAAGAAAGAUCUGAUAGAUGCUUAUCAACACACAGAUGGCAGGCUGGCAAACUACGUACGUUGUCUACACCACCUUGUCGUACAUCUUUCCUCGGAUAUCCAAGCUCGCGGGCGGCAAAAGCACUCCAACCUGCACAGGAGCAAGCCAAGUGAGAAAACGAAAAAAGGAAUAGCGGAAUGGAACUAGUUCUACACCGGACGCUUACGCUUUCUUAUGCCGAUUCCCAUUCCUAGAACAAUAUAAGGGAGAACAAUAAGAAGUAAGGAGCUCUCCUAAGCCACGUGGAAAAGAUAUACGAAAAUCCAGAUGGGGCCCUCCCAAUGCAAUUGAGUAGCACGAUGCAUAAACGGAGAAAGCAUCAAAACGUUAGGGCGUGUAGCUGACGAUGCUUAGUUUGCUGUAUUUCAAAGAUGCUGUUGUUUGCUACUAUACUAAAGGGCUAAGUUGACGAUGCUGUUGUUUGCUACUAUACUAUAACAUCACCAAAUUCAGUGGCGUCCAUUGAAGCGAAAAAGGAAGUCAAUUAGUCUUUCGAAUUCCAAACUUUUCUUUCUGCCGGUUCGGGGCAACCAAGCAAACCGAGUCAAAGAAACAUGAAUACAUACAUAAUUAGGAAAGGACGUAAUAAAGUAUUCUAGGAGAGAACACGUGUAAUAAAGUAUUCUAGGAAAGAACGUAAGAGUCUUAAAGUAUUCUAUCAAUAUCAAAUCUGUCGGGUAAAGCGCUAUGCUAUUGAUUAAUGUCUGCUUCUUCAAACAUCUGUCAAUGACAAAAAAACACACACACUGUCGGGGGUAAUGGUAAUGAAAAGAUAGAAUAUGUUCGACAGUCUUCACUCUAAGUAAUGUUUACAAAAGUAGUCAAAUCAAUGCUUCGACAGUCUUCACUCUAGGUAAUGUUUACAAAAGUAGUCAAAUCAACGCUAUAAUCCAAAUGUUAUAGAAAGGUGCUAAGAGCCUUGUUUGAAUUGGAAUUGUAUAUCGAUUGUGGUAGUAACUGGAAUUGUAUAUCGAUUGUGGUAGCAACCAGGCUAUUGCCGGAAAGUCAAUCCCUCUUAUCGCCCGGCUCUCUUACUUACGGGAGACAUAAGAAGUAGGUGCGAAGCCUUUGAAAGCCAAAACACAAGCUUUCUUCGUGCCCAUACUCCUUUUAGCCUUUGUUACAGAAGUCGAAGGAUCCCUUGGUUGCUCUCUUGCGCCGAGUAGGUAGUAGCGGAUUCGGGUUGCCUAAGUAUAAGGCAUAGAACUACUGAUUCCCUUGCGAUCUUGUCUUCCUUAUUACUAUAGAAGGAUCAGCGCCCUCAUCAUAGUAAGGCUGAUUCGCUGAAAGGAAAUAGGAAAAUGCUAGGCAUAGCAAAGUCACCUUUGGAUCAGGAUCCCCUCCUCUCUUGCCUUUUCCAACUUCAAAGGAUCCUCCAGACUAAACUAGCAACUAGGCAAUAAGUACGUGAGUAUAGCCCAGACAAGUCCAAGGCCUGAACAAAGGACUUUAAGCACUUACGGAGUUUAGAAGUGAGUUUACUUCGAGUGUUGUUGGCGAUAAGUCUAUUUCUUUCUAUUCGAGUGGAAGUUUCCGUUUAAGUAGAAUUUGACUGACACACAUAUAGAGGAAAGUCUUUGUAACCAAAGGUAUAGGUAAGGUAGCUUUCAGAUCCAAGUCGUCGUCAAAUAGUUGCGGGAAGGGCAAAGCUUAGUCUCAUGUUGCGCUAAGGAGCCCCCCGCCCUCGGUCGACAAAGAAUCUCUUCCCUCUUAGAAGCUAUAAGUCCUUCUUGUCUUUCUGCAAGAUCCAGAUUGGAAGCGCUACUAAGUGGUCCAACCCCAAGCAUUUCAAAGGCGUGACGUUUGAGUUGUUGGUUCUUUAAAUACAUUUGAGCUUAGAAAGAGAGACCUGUUCCCCGUAACUCUUAUUCAAUCUCAAUCAUAUAUUAUAUAAGUGCUAUACCUAACCUAACUGCGAAACUCUAUUGACUGCUUCCUGCGAGAAUGGAAUGAAACUGCAAAAGGGUGAACUACCGUUAGCUUACUUCUUCGGGCAAUAUUCUCUGAUCUUAUAUGAUCUUCUGCGCACUUUAGGGUAUUUGUGCCCGACUUAGUGUAAUGGCGGUGAAUUCGAUACGGCGCUCGAGAUAGAUUCAAUUAAAUGGUGCAGUGUGUUGACAUUCAUUCCUACAACUUGGCUUUCGCUGUAAGAUACCUGAGACUUUGCUUUCCAACCGAGUUUAGAAUUAAUCUGAAAUUGCUAACAUUAAGUAAAAGAGUAUUAGUCGGAUUAGUAUAAGUAAAAGUAGGAAUACCGGAGUGGAAGACCCCUUCUUAUAACUUAACUGAAUUAUGCUCCAUUCUUUGUACCACAACAAGCAACGGGUGCAAAGGUCUUCCUCGACCUCAAAAGUAAGAGCACCCCGACAAUAGAUUCUAAACUAGCAGACUCCGGAGCACCCCCAAGAGACUCUAUUGAAACACUGAUAUGCUAGAAACUCCAUUGAAACACUGAUAUGCUUUCUUGAUCUUUAUAAUAAGAUGUAAGAUGAAACAGGACCAGAUUCGUUUGUUGCCAGAGGAGAGGGAAUAGAAGUAGUGCGAGUUAGGUCUACGAGAUCAUCAACUGGAGCAGGACAUUCUCCACGACACCACGCUUCAAAACCACGACAGAGGUAAGUAACAAACCAUAGGCAUAGAGCUAAAUCACCAACCUAGUUGUACAAGUACUCAGUCUCUCUCACCAACCCAUAGGCUCCUUCGCGAGUGCGCACCGAUACUAGAACUUAUGAUUUAGAUACGGAUAUCUAAGAUGAAACUAGAACUCCACUUUCAUUUCGAACAGCAUUUCCUCGAAUAACGGAUUCUGUUGCGAGAAUGCACAUCGCUGCUAAGUGAUUCUCUAAUUACCGGUUUCCAUACAAUACCACAGCUUGCUGCUGACUCUCUUGAUGGCAUUAAUUAGGGGCACAGGACAGAUAUAGUAGUGAAGCUCUGGCUCUUGAAACUGACUCUCAACUUGAUUUCCUUCCCGCUGCAGAUCCGGAUAAAGCUUAUUCGGGAGCUCCCAAAGCGGCUUCUCCUGCUUCGGCUUCUGUAUCAAAGCCUUCUUUCUAUUACUAUCUUGACUAUAUUCUAUCUUCACCACCCCUAUCUUUCCUUAAAGAUCGGAAGCAAGAUCAGAUACAACAUCAAAGUAAAGUAGAAAGCCCCCAUUAUUAAUGGUCCUGUGUUAACCUGUUUUCGACCUAAGGUUAACUUCAAAGAACUGGUUGUUGCUAAGGUGAACUCGGAGUUAAGACCACAGAGUUAUAUAGUAUAGUAGUUAUCAGAGAAGAAGACGAAGCCAGUUUUCCCUGCCCUCUCAGGCUCCUCUAAGAAUUGAGUGGACUUGCCGCUUCCAGUGCUUUCAGCAGAAGAAAAAGAAGCAUGAAUUUUAGUAACAUUGGAUUAAGUUGAGUUAAAGUUUGAGUAACAUUAAGAUUUGAGUCACAGUCAUUUUAGUAACAUCCGCAUUGGGCGUAUAACCAUUUUAGUAACAAAGGAAUCGGUCACUGGGCUAUCCGAACAAGACUUGAAGAUGAAACUCGGGGUGCCCUAAGAAGCAAGUAAACCCUAAACUAAGUGAAGUAAACCCUAAACUCAAGAUAUGGGUGUGUAAAAUACUCGCAUCUUUAGAUGUUUGAUGGGAAAUGACCUAUGAAAUAGACUUCUCGGCUGUAGAAAUGAAUUGACGCCUAUAAUCUUUCUGGUUCCUUCCUUUAUUACCAAGUCAAGUUUUGGGGAGCUCUUCCCACUCCGAUAUCAAGUAUCUAGUACUAUUGGUAUGAAUUCUCCGAUCCUAUCAUAAAUAAAAGGUAUUUCUUCUUUUUAGUCAACUGGUUCUCUUUCCACUCUUGCUCCCCUCUCGCCAACACCAACAAAGGGAGCGGUCUUCAACAGGGCAGCUAGUGUUCUCAUUUCACUGGAGCCCUCUAUUCUAUUUAGUUUUAGUUGACAGCUGCUUGGCUUGUUCAAUUCUGUAGGCUGAGGCUCCUCUCUGCUAACUUAAUUAGGCUUCUAUCUCUUGAACUUUCUCUCUUUCACUAUUGAAUACAUACCUGCUUGUUUGUCUCAUACUUUCAUUUGAGAACACAUGGUUGUUUACUUAUAUUUGUAUAGGAGAUGUAGAAGAUAGUUCAAUUACUUACUUGUUUUCUUCCUUGACUCUAUAAAUUAGUAGAAUACCAUUGAAGUUGACCCUGGCUUUCCCCUAUGGCAAAUUCUUAUGUUCCUGCCUCGGAUCUUGAAAGAAACCCGCUUAUUCUUGCUGCCCCUGGUCUGCGGCCACAGCUCUAAUCUAACUGGUCACUUACUUACUUGGCGGGUGCUCGAUAGUGCCUCUGGUCUCUGUGCUUUACAAUAGGGUGAGGCUGCCAAUGGAAUACUCUUGCUUGAGCUUUGAACAUGAUGCUUUCCUUUCUAGAUAGCCUGAGCACUAAGACAAUCUCGAUGAAUCACAAAGAUCAAAGAGAAGCAGAGCUCGUUGCAGAGGAUAUAUAUAGGUAAAGUAGCCCUCAACUCCCGGUAGCAGAGGAUAUAUAUAGGUAUGAUGGUUGGCCUUUUCUUGAAUAAAGAGAAAGGUGCUUCAAGCGAACUUGAUUAAGGCUUUUUAAACAUUAUAGAAAGAGUAAUUCAUUCCUCAGGCAAAAGAAAGUGUACAGAGCAAUUAGGCUCCGGGAAGAUAAACCCAAAUUAUCAACAAUGCUUUCGGGAGGCUUAUAGGUGAUUUGCUUCAAUUCAAGACAGUGAUGAGUAAGGGGGGGAGGCUUUGA